Quercus robur (English oak) is the source of this 1601-nucleotide RNA transcript. It is a transcript of the gene named ribonuclease 3-like protein 2, with no coding region annotated. Lineage: Eukaryota; Viridiplantae; Streptophyta; Magnoliopsida; Fagales; Fagaceae. The transcript is spliced from 3 exons. The record is from RefSeq and is a predicted model, not a curated record.
ACUACAUAAUGCAAAGGAGUUAGCCGCUCCCUUCCUUUGACACGUACAAGGUCCCCAUCAAGUUGUAGAAGCUGACGCACCAACUCAAUAUGCCCAUUUUGUAGAGCAAGGUGAAUGGGACUAAACCCGUUUGAAUCUAGUUUCCGAAGGCUUUAAACUCAUCAACUCUAGGGCAAAUUGGAUGUUCCAACAGGAUGCAGCUAUGUGUAAAGGAGUAUUAAUAAAGAGAAAACGUUAUAUCCGGAGCUGGCAGAAAAGGGGCUAUUUAUGCCACCAAUCAGGAGUUGCCAUGUCAGAUACACAUUGAGGCCUCAGUACACUCUAUCACACAGGAUUGUAGCUCAAACAAAACCAAAAUCACCAAACACGUUUUGUUUAGAAGAAGCCCUUACCUGGAGGAAAAAGAGAGUCUGGUGCCAAUGCCUCCUCUCCUCUGAGUCUAACCAACGGAGCUCCUCCCCGCCUCUUCUUAGCACUGAAUCUCCACGCCUCCUUCGGAAUCUGUGCUGGAACUUGGAAAAUGCGCCGGAGCCACCGUGAACGUGGUGUCACAACCUCAAGAGUUAGAGGGACUCCUAUGGCUCAUGCCUGUCAUGAUGUUGUUUGAGUUGUGUCAGAAGCAAGGGAAGCAGGUUGACAUUAAGUAUUGGAAGAAUGGGGAAAAGAAUGUUGCAACUGUAUAUGUCGAUGGUAAGUUUAUCGCUUCAGGUUCUUCUAAGAAGAAGGAAACUGCAAAGCUUAAUGCAGCAAAGCAAGCUUUGCUCAAGUUAUCGGAAUCUAUGCCCGCUAAUGUUGGGAGGCUAGAUUUUUCUUUUGGACUCAAUAAGUCAUUUGAGAUUGAUGGAGCAAAGCAGAAGUUACAUGAGCUUUGUGGCAAGAAAAAAUGGCCUAAGCCUAUUUACGGGUACAAGCUUCUUUACUAUGAGCAGUGAAGCAAUAGAGUGUGUGUGUGUGUGUGUGUGUGUUCUGAAUUAUUUGAUGAUGAGCCUGUUAGUUUUGUGAGUUGAACCACGAUCAAGCCUCCUGUAUUCUCUCUCCCCCUCCCUCCCUCCUCUCUCUCCCAUAGGCCAUAGUUUAUGAUUUAGAAUUUCAUAAGGAUGGCAUGGAAUGUUUUGAAGAGCUUGAUUACUGGGUUCACAAUGAUUGGAACUAGGAAUACUGAUCUCUAUGCCUUGAGAAACAUGAGGGUCCACCACAUGACAAGAAAUAUGUAUAUAGAGGUAGAUGAAAAGUCAAGAGUAAAGGAAGCACAAAAUUCUGCAGCUUCCUGGAUUAUUCGUGCCUUACAAGAAUCUAAUUAUCUAUGAUGUUGCUCCUUUUUUAGAAGAAUAUCAGUGAAGAACAGUUAGAAUGGUUAGGUUUAGUUUAGAAGAAUAUCAGUGAAGAACAGUAAAAAUGACUUGGUUAAUGGCUACAGCUAAAAUACAUGGAAUACUUUAUGGAAUUGCAAGUAGACCCAUGUGAUAUAGGGGUUAAAUGAAUUACGUUCACUUGAUUGCUUGGACAUGAUUAGUUUAUGCCACUAGAUUUUUAACUAAAUUGUACCUAUUUAACAGUUUAACAAUUAACACUUACAGUAUAAAGUGAAAGUUCCAUCUGUA